Molecule: ribosomal RNA, 253 nt
Filed under: uncultured bacterium
Lineage: Bacteria
Description: partial 16S ribosomal RNA
Rfam family: Bacterial small subunit ribosomal RNA
Source: RNAcentral
GACGAAGGUGGCGACCGUUGUUCGGAAUCACUGGGCAUAAAGAGCUCGUAGGCGGUGAGAAAAGUAGGGUGUGAAAUCCCUCGGCCCAACCGAGGAACUGCGCUCUAAACUGUCUUGCUUGAGGACCGAAGGGGACCACGGAAUUCCUGGUGGAGCGGUGAAAUGCGUUGAUAUCAGGAGGAGCACCGGUGGCGAAGGCGGGUCUCUGGGCCGUAACUGACGCUGAGGAGCGAAAGCAUGGGGAGCGAACAGG